CAGCCGCCACGGGAAUACAGAGGGUGCGAGCGUUAAUCGGAUUUACUGGGCGUAAGGCGUGCGUAGGCGGCUUCUUAAGUCGGAUGUGAAAUCCCUGAGCUUAACUUAGGAAUUGCAUUCGAUACUGGGAAGCUAGAGUAUGGGAGAGGAUGGUAGAAUUCCAGGUGUAGCGGUGAAAUGCGUAGAGAUCUGGAGGAAUACCGAUGGCGAAGGCAGCCAUCUGGCCUAAUACUGACGCUGAGGUACGAAAGCAUGGGGAGCAAACAGGAUUAGAUACCCGAGUAGUCCCUGUCUCUUAUAC
This 301-nucleotide ribosomal RNA is filed under the name uncultured bacterium. RNAcentral's name for it is "partial 16S ribosomal RNA". It matches the Rfam family "Bacterial small subunit ribosomal RNA", at positions 509 to 807 of the family's 1533-position model. The record is from RNAcentral.